CCUACGGGAGGCAGCAGUGGGGAAUUUUGGACAAUGGGGGCAACCCUGAUCCAGCAAUGCCGCGUGAGUGAAGAAGGCCUUCGGGUUGUAAAGCUCUUUUGUCAGGGAAGAAACAGCAGCUCUAACACAGUCUGCGAAUGACGGUACCUGAAGAAUAAGCACCGGCUAACUACGUGCCAGCAGCCGCGGUAAU
RNAcentral lists this ribosomal RNA (193 nucleotides) under uncultured beta proteobacterium. RNAcentral's name for it is "partial 16S ribosomal RNA". It matches the Rfam family "Bacterial small subunit ribosomal RNA", at positions 338 to 524 of the family's 1533-position model. The record is from RNAcentral. Lineage: Bacteria; Pseudomonadati; Pseudomonadota; Betaproteobacteria.